RNAcentral lists this ribosomal RNA (701 nucleotides) under uncultured Brachybacterium sp. RNAcentral's name for it is "bacterial SSU rRNA". It matches the Rfam family "Bacterial small subunit ribosomal RNA", at positions 8 to 725 of the family's 1533-position model. Lineage: Bacteria; Bacillati; Actinomycetota; Actinomycetes; Micrococcales; Dermabacteraceae. The record is from RNAcentral.
AGAGUUGAUCCUGGCUCAGGACGAACGCUGGCUGCGUGCUUAACACAUGCAAGUCGAACGCUGAAGCCCUCAGCUUGCUGAGGGUGGAUGAGUGGCGAACGGGUGAGUAACACGUGAGUAACCUGCCCUUCACUUCGGGAUAACCUCGGGAAAUCGUGGCAAAACCGGAUAUGGAGCUCCUGCCGCAUGGUGGGGGUUGGAAAGAUUUAUCGGUGAGGGAUGGACUCGCGGCCUAUCAGUUUGUUGGUGAGGUAAUGGCUCACCAAGACGAUGACGGGUAGCCGGCCUGAGAGGGCGACCGGCCACACUGGGACUGAGACACGGCCCAGACUCCUACGGGAGGCAGCAGUGGGGAAUAUUGCACAAUGGGCGAAAGCCUGAUGCAGCGACGCCGCGUGGGGGAUGACGGCCUUCGGGUUGUAAACCUCUUUCAGUAGGGAAGAAGCGAAAGUGACGGUACCUGCAGAAGAAGCGCCGGCUAACUACGUGCCAGCAGCCGCGGUAAUACGUAGGGCGCAAGCGUUGUCCGGAAUUAUUGGGCGUAAAGAGCUCGUAGGUGGCUUGUCGCGUCUGCCGUGAAAACCCGAGGCUCAACCUCGGGCGUGCGGUGGGUACGGCAGGCUGGAGUGGGUAGGGGAGACUGGAACUCUGGUGUAGCGGUGAAAUGCGCAGAUAUCAGAGAACACCGAUGGCGAAGCAGG